UAAAUAUUGACUUUAUUUUUAUAAAAUGAUGAAAUGAAAUAAGAUGUAAACGAAUAUGAAAGUAUAUAAACACAUACACACAAAACAUUAAAGAUAACGAAAUGGAAAAAAUUAGAACAACCUUGCGUAUAGCAUACGUACGCAUAUAAAGAUGAUAAAACACUCAAGUAAUAUAUAUAAAAACAGUGGAAUUUUACAGUUCAGAAUUGCAAUUUUAUACAAAUUUUAUGUUUUAACAAACAUAUUUUAUCAAUGUAAAGAAAUAAACAGUUGCGUCUCUGUUAACUAUGUAUAGAAAUAUGCAUUUGAAUAUAAAUACUCACUGCAUAUUUCAAUUUCUUUCUGUUAAUCUUAAAUAACAUUUUUACGAUGUCGAUGCUGUUAAAACAAUUUGCCGUAUAUAUAUAUACAAAACUUGUAUAUACUUUUUACAGCUAUAUCAGUUCAAUUCAGCAGCCUGACGUUUCUACUAAGCGUCUUUGUUAUACAUCAGCUAUACUGAUUGAACCAGGAAUAUUCUUCCUUUUGGUGUUUGACAUUUGCUGCUUGGACUUUGUGCACCAUUGUAUUUUUUUUUAUUCACAUGAAAUUUGUAGAUCAGCCAUAUGUGAUAAAAGAGAGGUAAUCACCUACGCAGGGUUAAAUAAAAUACAGUGUUUGUUUUAUGUUUUUAAAUUUUUAUGUUUUUUUUUCUCUGUUAUCUCUUAACUACUGUUAUCAUGUGUUAAAAUCUUUAGAAUGAAAUUUUAAAUCUUAUAUUAAUCACACGUGUUUGUUUAUAUGAAAACAUUUUGCUUGUUGGUUACUUAACGUUAUCUAUUCUUGUUUUUACCUAUACGUUUUACCCUUGCAAAAUGGGCUACUAAUCAGUUGAAAUAGUCACAUACACGUCACAUUUUAAGGAAAUAAUGGCUUAUGGCAGGUCAUUGUCAAAAUUACAAAUACAACAAGAUUUAAUUCAAUUUACACUUGUCAUUUCAAACUAUCGUCAAUUAUAUAACUAAAUGCUUUGAAAUGGGAAUUGAAAUAUCACAAAUCAGAUUUAAUAUUACUUAAAUGCAUUCAACGGCUAUUGAUACUGACGAAAGCCAAAUGAUUAUGUACAGACACACGUAUUGUUCAAGAACUUUGUUAAAAGAAUAUCUAAAAUAAUUGAUAGUUUAUGUAGAUUACCAUCUAAUACAUGGACAAUAUUAUUAUAAUAUAUUUUUAAUAUUGGUGUAUGAAUAAUAUUUUUUCACAUAAUAAACAGUAAAAAGCA
Molecule: long non-coding RNA, 1261 nt
Organism: Ruditapes philippinarum (Manila clam)
Lineage: Eukaryota; Metazoa; Mollusca; Bivalvia; Venerida; Veneridae
Exons: 2
Source: RefSeq, a predicted model, not a curated record